This is a long non-coding RNA of Monodelphis domestica (gray short-tailed opossum), 3759 nucleotides long. RefSeq lists it as uncharacterized. NCBI's taxonomy places the organism in Eukaryota, Metazoa, Chordata, Mammalia, Didelphimorphia, Didelphidae. The record is from RefSeq and is a predicted model, not a curated record.
UUUUAUGGACAGAAGCUCCUUACCUUUUAGAUUUAUUCCCUCACUAGGCUCCCAGUUCUCCAAACUCUACUCUUUACUUGGAUUUUAAGGCAAGGGCCCAAUGAGAAAUCCAGGCAGAGAUGGGGAAAGGAAACCGGGAAGCUUUCAGUUCACUGAUCGGAUCUGCCUUCUCCUCUACUGCAGGGAGGAAGAGGGUUGAUUCUGAACAGAAAGACAACUGGUGAGACACCUCUAUUUUGGGGAUUUUUAAAUGUCUUACACUUUUAAAACUAAGUUUUUUUUCAACUUGUAGAACAACCUAUUAAUUAUCUUCUGUUUUGAGGUAAACAAGGAGAGAUAAGAAGACCUGAUAAAUCUCCUUUCCCUGUCUGCUAGCCAGAAAGAAGUAAUGCUUAAAUCUGUCUAUUAGAGGUAUUUAUUGGUAUUUUAUUUCAAAAUUGUGAUCAGGUAUAUAUGUGGGUUUAGAAAAUAACAUCCUAAUUUUAAUUUGUCAGACAGUGAAAUUUCAGUUUGGAUAGAAAAACCACAGAUCGGUUUUGUAAAAUAGGUUUUAGCAGUAUAGCCUCAAGAAAACUGCAUUUCAUCUGUAUCUAUCUUUCUAUCAUAAGAGGUUUAAAGGGGGAAAAAUGGGUUUAAGUGUUUAAACUUACCAAAAAAUGGGUUUUUGUUUAAAAUUAUCAAAUGGUUUUCUUCUCAAUGGUUUUCAUCCCAGUGUAUUUAAGUUGGACUAACUUUAUUAUUACAUUUAACUUCUUGGUCUCGAAAACAGGUAAUCAGCCUGCUUGUCAAAAGGCUUGCUUUAAGGUUUAUGGUCCUUAAAAGGUUUCAAAUCUCUAAAUUUAAAAUAGAUCCUGUAAUACUAAAUGACUUACGAAAAAAUUUUUUUGAAAUAUUAUGUGAGUUGCUGCUGAAAUAUGUAUUUUAAAUAUUGUUUGGAUGUAAACAAAAGCUCAUUAUAAACCUGACUCUACCAUAGAUUUUGUUCAAUACUCAGUGGUCACCUCAGUUUACCAAUUUGUUCUAUGAACUGAAAUUUAUAAUGGAUGAGCCCUGUGCUAAAGAUGGUUCAAUGAUGUAAUCCUUUAAAUCAGAAUUCUUUUGGUUACCAAUUAGCAAUUGUAGUGAUACCAAUGGAAUGUUUGUUUGACUUAUGAUGGUAAAAGCAAGUCAGAGAAGGUGAAGAAGGUAUGUUGGGUUUGAAUUCAGAAGAAAGAAGGACUUUGAUCUAAAGUCCAUAAAGCUUGAGUAUGCAGGUUUGUGAAGGAAGAAUGGAAGUUGUGUUCUGCUUUUUAAGCAGAGGGUUUUGAAGGAAAAGAGAGAAAGAGAAGGUGAAAGAGAACAGAUAGAUGUUCUGUUCCCAUAAUUGGAUCUUUAACUUAGGGAUAAUUUCUAGAAUUAAUGUAUGCAGUUUUGUAAAGUCACAAAUAAUUCUAGAAUUUCUCUGAAAAUUCCUUAGAGAGAUUCCUGACUGAUCUUGUCUUAGUUCCUUCAGAUGGCCUAAGGUCAGGAUUUGAUCUAGCCCUGAUUUGUAUUUACUAUAGAGCUAAUGAAUUCAACAUUCCUGUUCAGGUUUUAUGACUAAAUUUUGAUAAAUUAAUUAUUGCCAAAAUAUGUAAGAAUAAUUGCUAUAAUGUAGACUCAUAGGCUUUAAGGAAUCCUUAGAGAGGGUAAAUGAUCAGAAAAGCUUGUUUGAGGGUAUGGAAAUUUGUUUCUGGACUGCUGAUAAGCAGAACUUCUCUCAGCUGAAAUGGGUAAGACUUGUCUCCUAAGGCAAAAGAUUUCUAGGAUCCAAUAGCGACAAAGUGUUCUAAGGAGAGAGAAAGUCCUAGGAUGGUUAGAGAAGGAAACCCAAGGCUCACCUUGAACUGGACUUUCCUAACCAUCUAGGCUGCUAAUCCUUGAGUGAAACAAUAAUGGCCUGAGCCAGUGACAGCCUUGCUUUGUACAUGAAGCCACUCACUGUGUCCUUUGUGACUUGAGGAAAUAUUUUCCCUUUUGGGCCUUCUUCCUUCAUGACAAACUCCCAUAAUCAGCACAUAAUACAAAUUGGAAAAUUAAAUUUCCAUUUCCCCAAACAACCUAUUAGGUUUUAAUUGAACAUUCUCAAACUGUUAGGGAACAUACUUUGAGAAGUAGGUGAAGUUUAUUAAUUGAUGGCUUGUAUUUACAGCCUUAAUUGAAAUUUGGAUCUUCAGCUUGGAAUAGCUCAAAGAUCUCCUGAAUUUUCCCCAGAAUCUGGAGUAAAGAAAUUAAUCUAUAAAAUAUUGUUGCGCAAGUGGUUAUAGAUGUUAUAGUUAAUGUGUACUUUGCAAAAGGAUAUUCUUUAACAGAAACAUCACAUACCAACUCUGCAAACAACUCAGGAAUCUGAUUUCCUAAAGGGAUCUAUUCCUUUCAGAAUAUGGUUUCUGAAGAAGUCUGUUGGCUAAGAUACCCAAAAGCAAAUGUGUAAUGCCAAUUGCUAUUGUACUAAUUUUUUCUGUUUCUAUCUGGUGUUCUCAGGAAGGAGUAGUAUCUCUGGUAUGGAGGGCUUGUCGUGCCCUCCUAGGGCAGCUCUCCAACCUCUGACCCUCACCUGACACCCAGCUCUCACUAGUGGCUCCUAGUAGCUGCUAGCAUGCGGCAGCGGCCACACCCCGGGCAACGGCUUCGACAGGCCGGCUAAACCUUGUGAGGGUAGCCAUCGGGUCAUUGACCCCUGGUGAACCAGGGCUUUGCUCAUCCAGCAUGUGAAGACUGCUUCGGCUGAACAGACAGAAGAAACCAAUAAAAAGGUUCAACGGCUGAGAUGGCGACGCAGCAAAGCACUGUGGAGUGCUUAGGAUGUGUUGGAGCACAAAAGACAACAUGGCCAUCCAAUGCAGCUGAGGAAGUCUCCAGGUGUAACGACUUUUCGUGCCACUGGACCCAGGCUUCCAACGCCCAGAGAGUGGGACUGUCUCUGUGCAUCGACUUUUCCACUUAAAUCUCCUUCACGCACAAGUGUUUUUGUGCACACUCAUCUACACCACAGAUGAAAGUGCACAAAGACAAUCGUCAUCCUCGGGGUAAAACCAUUCAUGGGAGCCACUUGAAUACCAGAUGCCACCAUAACCUUGGCAACCAUCCCAGCCUGAUGCUCUGGACAUGGCCUACAGUCAAUACCUCUCUCUCCUAACAUUAGGCAGGGACAACUCUACACUCAUUCUCAGCUCUGAAGAAGUUACAGAAUACUGAGACCAUUGCCCCUUUUCCCUUAUAUAUUAGGAGAGUGGGGAGACGACAUGGGCACUGUAACCCCAGAAACCCAGGCGAACUAUUAUAAGGGAAACUCCCUCGCUUCCUUGCAUCCUACUGACUCUGAACCUAGAAAUACCCAAUGACCCCCCUAGGGUCCUGAGAUGUUUAUCCUCUUUGAUAGUCCUCUAGAUUUAAGAGGGACAAAGAGAUGAAUCUUUAUGCCUCCAGGCAGACCCUAGUCAGAUGACCACCCCACCCCACCAAAUGCCUGAGGGCUUAUCACUCUAAGUCACCUCUACACCAUGACAUAGCACCUGUUGUAAAGAGUAUAAAGUCGCCAGUAAGAGUAUAAAGUCGCCAGCACUGAUGUUGUCUGGGGGACAGCUUUUCCAUUCAUGCUGUCCUCCCAGGGUGAUAGCUUUUCCAUCCAUGCUGUCCUCCCAAGGAGCAGCCUUCCAUCUUGCUGUUCCACCUGUACCAUCCUCCUGGCCAUUCUCAACAUUACUCUCUAAAUUAAUAAAUUUCUCUUUUUAUUUUUAA